GGGUCAAUAGGUUGGUCGUGCCACCGGUACGUACUGGUCUCACUGAUUCCUCCUUCCUGAAGAACCGUAAUGCCAUUAAUUUGGUGUUGCGGGGAAACAGGACUGUUACUUUGAAAAAUUAGAGUGUUUAAAGCAAGCUAACGCUUGAAUACAUUAGCAUGGAAUAAUGAAAUAGGACGAUCGAUCCUAUUUUGUUGGUUUCUAGGAUUGACGUA
This 215-nucleotide ribosomal RNA is filed under the name Glomeromycotina sp. RNAcentral describes it as "partial small subunit ribosomal RNA". The stretch from base 40 to 215 matches the Rfam family "Eukaryotic small subunit ribosomal RNA", at positions 686 to 864 of the family's 1831-position model. The record is from RNAcentral. Lineage: Eukaryota; Fungi; Glomeromycota.